AGAGUUUGAUCCUGGCUCAGGAUGAACGUUGGCGGUGUGCCUAAUACAUGCAAGUCGAACGGAGUUAAUAGCAAUAUUGGCUCAGUGGCGAACGGGUGAGUAACGCAUUGGUGAUCUGCCUUGAAGUGUGGAAUAACGUUUCGAAAGGAACGCUAAUACCGCAUGUGCUCUCGAUUUUCAGAAAGUUGAGAGUAAAGGAUUUAUUCGCUUCAAGAGGAGCCUGCGUCCCAUCAGCUGGUUGGUAGGGUAACGGCCUACCAAGGCUAUGACGGGUAGGGGACCUGAGAGGGUGGCCCCCCACAAUGGAACUGAAACACGGUCCAUACACCUACGGGUGGCAGCAGUAGGGAAUAUUAGAAAUGGACGAAAGUCUGAUCUAGCAACACCGCGUGUGCGAAGAAGGCCUUCGGGUCGUAAAGCACUUUUUGGAAGGAAUAGGAAGGAAUGUACUUCCAGAAUAAGUCUCGGCUAACUACGUGCCAGCAGCCGCGGUAACACGUAGGAGGCAAACGUUAUCCGGAUUUACUGGGCGUAAAGCGCGUGUAGGUGGUACUGUAAGUAGGGCGUGAAAGCUCCUGGCUCAACUGGGAGAGGCCGUUCUAAACUACAGAACUAGAGGAUGGUAGAGGGAGGUGGAAUUCCAGGUGUAGCGGUGGAAUGCGCAGAUAUCUUGGAGGAACACCGGUGGCGAAGGCGGCCUCCUGGACCAUUCCUGACACUCAGACGCGAAAGCUAGGGUAGCAAACGGGAUUAGAGACCCCGGUAGUCCUAGCCUUAACGAUGUAGACUAGGCGUCGGAA
Molecule: ribosomal RNA, 800 nt
Filed under: uncultured bacterium
Lineage: Bacteria
Description: bacterial SSU rRNA
Rfam family: Bacterial small subunit ribosomal RNA
Source: RNAcentral